Long non-coding RNA from Oncorhynchus keta (chum salmon), 8574 nucleotides. RefSeq lists it as uncharacterized. NCBI's taxonomy places the organism in Eukaryota, Metazoa, Chordata, Actinopteri, Salmoniformes, Salmonidae. The record is from RefSeq and is a predicted model, not a curated record. The transcript has 3 exons.
UUUGAGGGCUGAGGGGAAAAUGUCUGUCUUAUGUGUUUGGAACGCAAAAAGGGUUUUCCAAAAAGGGUCAAGUUUAUCAUUAGAGCCUUUGUAGGAGCAUCGUUAAAUCUCCGAGCUGUUUCCCCAAACCAUUGCACUUGAACAAGCUCUUAAUCUAACGCCUGACACAGACCACUUGUAGAAAAGGUAACAUUAAGUGCUUUUUUUUGGCCUAAAAAUAGAAUUACAUGAUUUUUCUGUGACCGAGGAUAACUUCCAAACAAAGUCGACUACAAAUACAAAGUUGUCAAUGUUUUUGCAACUGAUCCAAACAGGGAUGUAUAUAGAAAGACCAGAUUCAAAUUCAUUUGUAGAAUUAGGUUAGCUAGCUAACAUUGCCAUUAAAUCACCUUACAAGCUUUGACACUUUCAUGGGUUUGGAGUAAUAACAUGUUCAUCUACUUAAGACACUGGCUCGAAUAUAGGUUGUGUCUUUAGAUUAUUAUUUUUUUAAACGAAGGGCGAAUGUUUAACUUCCCAAACCCUGGCCUGGUCUGCUUGGCAAGCGUUUCCAGAAGUCUGGAGAUGUUACGCCUCGGUUUAGAAACUGUGAUAAAGCCUUGCGUUUAUUUUUGGUUUUGUGAUGUUGGCAGUAGGUGCACUUGAUUAUGUGGCCCUAUCGCCGGGAAGGCAAAAAUGUUUGCAUUUUGAACCAUUUCAUGUGUCUGAAGGUAGUACUCCGUCUACCUGGCAGCCCAGUGAUCAAAUCAAUAGCACCUAUAGGUCUAUCGCUGGCCAAUCAGAUAGAUCAGAUCACUGCGUCUGCUCAGUUUCCUCGAGCCAUAGACUGUAAAAACAAGCCCCGAACACAUAGCAAAAUGGAUACUUGACAUUUUAAAAACUUUUAAAACUGACUAGAGAGAGACUCAAAGAUUACAGCAAAGAGCUGCUGUUUUUAUGAAUUCCCAGUAAAACCGCUGUCUCAUGAGCCACAAUGUGCGCUGCUGAUCCUGAUGGCCAGCAUCAUCAUGAACUUCCUUCAACACAAGGCCUCUCAAAGACACAGCUUCAAGGACUCGCUCUCUCCUAGAUGGGCGUCGGACUCUAUCUACAAAGAACAUGACUCUGCUGAUGAUAGGAUCCAGUGACUGGUUAUCACACAGCUCCUUGUGUGUAAGGACAGGUCAAGGGCUCUGACCCAUGGACAUCAACUUCUCAAGAUGCUGCACAUGUGAAACGGCCCUCACUGUGGCACCAUCAUCCCAUCAGUGGUGAGCAUGGAGGACAGCAGACACCUCUUCACAGGAAACCAACCCACUGACAUUAUCUCCAGCUCUACACAACUCACUCCCAGGAGCCAUUGACGUUCUACAGCCAGCCUCAGGCUUUUCACAGGAGAGACGGAACAUGUCUUGUACAUCAUCCACUCAAAGACCUCUGGCUUCCUCCAGCAGGACAUCAUAUGGAAUUCUUGUCAGUCGGUGCAGAACUUUGGAGCGGACAAAUGGCUCUCUGCUCAAAGCAUCAGCAACGACAUUCUUGGGCCCUGGUAUGUACUGGAUAUCAAAAUCAAAGGGUGCCAGCUUUGCAACCCAUCUCUCCUCGCAUGCAUCAAGUCUCUGCUUUGUAAGAAUAUAUUUGAGUGGAUUGUUGUCAGUCCACACAGUAAACUUAUGCCCUUGCAGCCAAUGGCUGAAUUUAUUAUGAAUUGCCCAUUUCAUGGCUAGAAAUUCUCGCCGGUGAGCAGGAUACUUGGAUUGUGCAUGAUUAAGAGACUUCCCAUCUUGCACUUGGGUUAGUACAGCUCCCAAACCACUAGUAGAUGCAUCAACAGAAAGUAAAAAUGGCUGAGCAAAAUGUGGAUGAGCCAGCAGUGCCUGGUCAACUAGUGCUGCUUUCAAAGUUUCAAAAGCGAAUUGACAUUCGGCAGUCCAGUCUGCAGCAGUGAGCCUGCAAGAGGGACCAGGCCUCUUUCUGCCCUUGCCUCUCCUAGGCUUCUUCUGACAUGUAGUCAGCUGAAACAAUGGCCUAGCAACCAUGGAACAAUUCUCAAUGUAGUGUUGAUAGUAUACUACCAUACCAAGGAAGAACGGAUUGUGCUAGGGGAUGGAGUGACACCAUCAGCUUCCAUCAUCUCACUCUCAGUCACAUUUAAAAUUGUUUGAACCCUAGCAGGGUCAGUGGCUAUGCCCUCCUGAGAAAUAUGUGGCCCAAAAACUUAACAGACCUCAAAAACAUGCACUUAGACGGAGACAGUUUAAGAUUGUGCUCCUGCAACCACUGAAAAACCAUCUCAAGUCUCUGCAGACUCUCUUUCUCCGUCUUAGCAAAAACCAUCAGAUCAUCCAAAUAGCAAAGGAGACUUAGAAUGUUUUGGUCACCAAAGAUGGUCAGCAUCAUUCUCAUAAAAGUAGCUGGGCUGUUGCAAAGGUCUUGAGGUAAACGAUUGUACUCGUGCAGACCUAAAGGAAAGGAAAAGGCAGUGUAUUUCUUAUCCUCUCCAUGCAGUGGCACAUUGUAGUACACUGAGGUCAAGUCCAUUGUGCUGAAGAAGGCAUUACCUCCCAGCGCAGCCAGUACAUCAGCCUGAAGAGGCAGGGGAUGAGCAUCCUUUACUGUGUGGGCGUUUAACCACCUAAAGUCAGUAUAUAGACGCAAGUCCCCAUUCUUUUUCCAUACCAACACCAAUGGUGAGGCAUACUCACUGCUGGAUUUUCUGACUAUUUCCUUUUCCUCCAUAUUGUCCAGUGUUUCCCUGAGUUUGUGGUAAUGAACUGGAGAAAGCCUACGACAGGGUAAUCAAAAUGGGCAGUCAUCAGUCAGUCGUAUGCGAUGGCGGAACUCUUUUGCCUCUCCACAAUCCAGGCUAUGUCUAGAGAACACUGUGUCAUACUUCUCAAUUAAACCGACAAGUUUGUCUUUCCAGAACUGAGAAACUGGACACCCCUCAACAGACAGGCCUUGAAGUCUAAUAUUUCUCAGUGUACUGUUGCCAUUAACUACACUGCCACCAACUGAACUCUUAGCUGUAAAGACUGCCAUGUGAGCUGUCACAUUGUACUUUUGCCACGUUCUGGUAAGCUGCUUGCUGCUUGACAUCAUCAAAAUCCUCCAAUGCAAUGCAAGGAUACACCUCUGCCACUUUAGCAUUUGGUCUCAGGGUAACUGGCGAAGUUGUUGGAUUCACAAUCUUCAAAGGGAGCCACCCAUCUCCUCACAGAAGCGUAACUACUCUCCCUACUAGUAUGUGUCGAUUCACACAACGAGACUGGGCUCAACAACAGUACUGCCCACAGAGAGUUUUGUCUUUGGGGGUAGGCGGCCCCACACCAGAUGCUCACUCAUGGGUUGGGGUGUUACUGCUCUCUUCAACUUAAUGGUGCCCACUUUAUCUGGAAUGGAGUCUCCUCUCCAUCUCUCCUGAUUUGAUAGGAGACGCAGGAAGUGGCUGUCAUCACACUGGCCAGAAGGACCUGGCGUACCCACCACCCACCAGUAGCUGUCAUUCGAUUUGAACUGUCUAAUCAGAGACUUCAACACGUUCGUGCCCACAAUGAGUUCAUCAACCUGCCCAUCUACAAUAAGCACUGGGACUACAUAACUGAAGCCAUAAAGCUGUAUUUUUAAGUCACACAUGCCCACUUGGCUAGUUUGCGUCCCACCACAACCCACCAGGUUGAUGUCUGAAGGAGCUAGAAAGUUCCCCUCUACCACUCAUGCCUCCCUCAACCGAGGUACAAUAUCUGUGCGCAGAGUAGUAGCCAUGGAUCCACUAUCUAACAUCCCCUUUAGCUCAACUUUAUCCUGUACCAGCACGGUGGUGUAAAACAAGCUGUUAUUCUGAGUAAUUGUCAUUGUGUUCUGAAUAAUUACUGUGUUCUUGGGUACUGACUCACAAAAAUAAGAAUAAAUGGAUUGGAUAUCAUCAUCAGUGGAGGAAACAUUUGACCGCCCCACAUUGCCCUCAUCAGAAUGGAGGCUUUCUAGUUUUCCUGAGACCUGCCAGUCUGUCCAUCCCCAGGGCUCUUCCGCUUCUCAGUCUCACUACAGUCAAAGCUCAUGUGGCCAGGAGAGAAGCACUUGAAACACAGCUGGUGCAUCUGACAGUGAGCUCUGGUCCAGUGAUUAGUGCUUCCACAGACGGCGCACUCACGCUUACAUUUGGGAAACUGUUUUCACAGACUGAGUAUUGCUGAGAAGAGCCUUCUCAAACAAAUUCAAAACUUUCUCUAAUGUCCCACUCUCAGAUACAGAUGGGGCCUGUUCUGGUUCACGGCCACAUCGAGAAAACAAUGAUCUAUUAGGUCUGCUCACAGGAUCCACUUCCUCCUGGGGGGAGUCGGACAGCAGCCACCUGCUGUGAAAGUUGUGUUCUACAUGCUUUACGCUCUCUUAACAGUUCAUCCAAACGAUCCUGUACCUCACUGGCUGUCCAGUCACGAAGGGGUUUGCAUUUGAACACUUGGGCCAACUCUUUAUCAGAACAGUUGCGUACAAACAUGACUGCCAACUGAUUGCGCAUGGUUCUACCCUCACUUACAAGGUACUGUUCAGCUGCCUCUGCAGCUUUGUUAAGCCUAAUCCAGAAAUCUAGUGGACCCUCAUUAGCAUAUGGUUUCAUUGAAUAGAAAUCAACUAAUGGCAUACCUGAGCAGACAGUAUCCCCAAAGUGUUGCUUGAGAACACUGAACACUGCCUUAACAUCUGUGACAACAGGGUUGUUACGCAUCCAGACUUUGGUCACAUCCCGUGCCCUCCCCAUGAGCCUGGACAUCACUUCCCCAACAUUCUCAGACCCAGUGCAACCCCUCUUCUCUAGGUAGACUCCCAUUAGCUCCUCCCACUCCAGGACAGAGUACUUCUCUGUGCCAUCACCCCUAAAGAGAGGUGGAGCACUAACCUCUGACUUCACAACCAAAUUCAGCUUGGGCGCAUCAAUAAAAGUUGACCCACAUUCUUCAGGCAGGGGAAACUGCUUGGGUUGGUGAGGGGAAUGGGCAGGAGAAAGACUUGAAGUCCCAGGCUGCAGUAAACUCGCUCUGAUAGGAGAAUGUAUCUCUGAACCAAUCUGCUUAAUGAGGUCACUAAAGCUGACUCGGAGGUGUCCCAUUAUUACUGAGGACUAGGGAUGAUGGUACAUCAAAAGACAAGAGGUGGGAUACCCUGGUCAGGUGGAGUAAACAGCCUACCCCUCCCAGUGCUUGUAAACUCAGGACUAGCAAACACUACUCCCAGGAGCUGAUUGUACAAGUGGUGUAAAUGCAAGGACACCCCUCCCUCUACCCACACUAAAAUCGCCAGCAUAACUCAUUUUAUGGAGUUGAGUCUUCCAUGGCUCAUUAGAGCACUAAAAUACAAUGUAAUUUACUGCAGACAAAUACAAAAAAAAAAAGCAAUAAACAAAUUCCCUGAAAACAUGCAAAUUAACACCAAUAGCCUCAUCUAGUGAAUAUGCUACAUUCACCUUCACUAUUUACAGUAUACAUUCACUUAUAGCGAAUCAUCAAGUGCGCAGGCGCAGAUCGCGCAUCUCCUCCACAUACAUAGCUCCGGUGGUCGGCUUGGGCUGACCAGUCGGCAGGUCGCGGCACCAGUUUGUACGGUGGUUCGUUCUGCAUUGUGUACUUUUAAUUAGGACGCUGCCACAACUGAAGGUCUGCUAGUUGAAUUAUUUUUAUUUGCCCUGCACACGAAGAGACAACACACAUUAUGUUAACCCUUGGUGCAGUCCUAGCUCUCAGGCACCUUGCUAGCCGAAGGUCAGGCAAAAGAGAACAAUAAGGGGUCACGGAAAUACAGAUAACCCGCGAUGGGCCAAACCAAAAUAUACAAAACUUUUACAAUCACACGUAUGUACAAUAUUGAUAUGAAAAAGUGUUUGUACACCAAAGAAAAACAUUAGCUAUGCAGCUGUAAUUAACAAAAAAAACACACUGAAUUAUUAUUAUCAUCAAAUUAUUAACAUCCCCUCUUGACCUGGCCUAUUUGAAUUGGUCCUUGUGUGCAAUUUGGUGCAUAAUCUAGGGGAACAACAUCACACUGCUACACAGGCCAUCAGUCCAGUAAAACAGAAUAUAGAGUACCAGUCAAAAGUUUUAACACACCUACUCAUUCAAGGGUUUUUCUUUAUUUGUACUAUUUUCUACAUUGUAGAAUAAUAGUGAAGACAUCAAAACUAUGAAAUAACACAUAUGGAAUCAUGUAGUAACCAAAAAAGUGUUAAACAAGUGAAAAAAUACUUUGCACACUCUUGGCAUUAUCUCAACCAGCUUCACCUGGAAUGCUUUUUCAACAGUCUUGAAGGCGUUUCCACAUAUGCUGAGCACUUGUUGGCUGCUUUUCCUUCACUCUGCAGUCCAACUCAUCCCAAAGCAUCUCAAUUGGGUUGAGGUCAGGUGAUUGUGGAGGCCAGGUCAUCUGAUGCCGCACUCCAUCACUCUAUUUCUUGGUCAAAUAGCCCUUACACAGCCUGGAGGUGUCUUGGGUCAUUGUCCUGUUGAAAAACAAAUUAUAGUCCCACUAAGCGCAUACCAGAUGGGAUGGCAUAUCGCUGCAGAUUGCUGUGUGCCUUGAAUUCUAAAUAAAUCACUGACAGUGUCACCAGCAAAGCACCCCCCACAACAUCACACCUUCUCCUCCAUGCUUCACGGUGGGAAACCGUGCAUGUGUAUGCAGUGAUCAUCCGUUCACCAACUCUGCGUCUCACAAAGACACAGCGAUUGGAACCAAAAGUCUCAAAUUUGGACUCGUCAGACCAAAGGACAGAUUUCCACUGGUCUAAUGCCCAUUGCUCGUGUAACUUGGCCCAAGAAAGUCUCUUCUUAUUGGUGUGCUUUAGUAGUGGUUUCAUUUAGAGGUCGACCGAUCAUGAUUUUUCAACGCCGAUACCGAUUUAUUGGAGGACUAAAGACGCCGAUACCGUUUAAUCGGAAAAUUUUGACUUUAUUUUAUUAUUUAUUUGUAAUAAUGACAAUUACAACAGUACUGAAUGUACACUUAUUUUAACUUUAAUAUAAUACAUCAAUAAAAUCAAUUUAGCCUCAAAUAAAUAAUGUAACGUGUUCAAUUAGGUUUAAAUAAUGCAAAAACAAAGUGUUGGAGAAGAAAGUAAAAGUGCAAUAUGUGCUAUGUAAGAAAGCUAACAUUUAAGUUCCUUGCUCAGAACAUGAGAAAAUAUGAAAGCUGGUGGUUCCUUUUAACAUGAGUCUUCAAUAAGAAAGUAAGAAGUUUUAGGUUGUAGUUAUUAUUGGAAUUAUAGGACUAUUUCCCUCUAUACCAUUUGUAUUUCAUUAACCUUUGCCUAUUGGAUGUUCUUCUAGGCACUUUAGUAUUGCCAGUGUAACAGUAUAGCUUCCGUCCCUCUCCUCGCCCCUCUCUGGGCUCGAACCAGGAACACAACGACAUCAGCCACCCUCGAAGCAGCAUUACCCAUGCAGAGCAAGGGGAACAACCACUCCAAGGCUCAGAGCGAGUGAUGUUUGAAACGCUAUUGGCGCGCGCUAACUAGCUAGCCAUUUCACUUCGGUUACACCAGCCGCAUCUCGGGAGUUGAUAGGCUUGAAGUAAUAAACAGCGCAAUGCUUGAGGCACAACGAAGAGCUGCUGGCAAAACGCCCGAAAGUGCUGUUUGAUUGAAUGUUUACGUGCCUGCUUCUGCCUACCACCGCUCAGUCAGAUACUUAGAUACUUAGAUACUUGUAUGCUCAGUCAGAUGAUAUGCAACGCAGGACAUGCUAGAUAAUAUCUAGUAAUAUCAUCAACCAUGUGUAGUUAACUAGUGAUUAUGAUUGAUUGAUUGAUUGUUUUUUAUAAGAUAAGUUUAACUAGCUAGCAACUUACCUUGACUCACUGCAGUCGCGUAACAGGCAAGUCUCCUUGUGGAGUGCAACGAUAGAGAUGCAGGUCGUUAUUGCGUUGGACUAGUUAACUGUAAGGUUGCAAGAUUGGAUCCCCCGAGCUGACAAGGUGAAAAUCUGUCGUUCUGCCCAUGAACGAGGCAGUUAACCCACCGUUCCUAGGCCGUCAUUGAAAAUAAGAAUGUGUUCUUAACUGACUUGCCCAGUUAAAUAAUUAUUAAAUAAAGGUGUAAAAAAAACACAGAUUUCCGAUUAUUAUGAAAACUUGAAAUCAGCCCUAAUUAAUCGGCCAUUCCAAUUAAUCGGUCGACCUCUAGUAUAUUUGCAGCAAUUCGACCUUUUAGGCCUGAUUCACACAGUCUCCUCUGAACAGUUGAUGUUGAGAUGUGCCUGGUCUGCAAUAUGAGGUGCAGUUAACUCUAAUGAACUUAUCCUCUGUUUCUCUUCUGUUUACCACUCCUAACUUGUCACAGCACAACUGAUUGGCUUACACGCAUUAAGAAGGAAAGAAAUAACACAAAUGUAACUUAACAAGGCACACCCGUUAAUUUAAAUGCAUUCCAGGUGACUAUCUCAUGAAGCUGGUUGAGAGAAUGCCAAACGUGUGCAAAGCUAUCAUCAAGGGAAAGGCUGGGUACUUUGAAGAAUCUCAAAUAUAAAAUACGUUUUGAAUUGAACACUUUUGGUUACUACAUGAAUUCAUGUGUUAUUUAAUAGUUUUGAAGUCUUCACUAUUAUU